RNAcentral lists this ribosomal RNA (558 nucleotides) under uncultured bacterium. RNAcentral describes it as "partial 16S ribosomal RNA". It matches the Rfam family "Bacterial small subunit ribosomal RNA", at positions 355 to 902 of the family's 1533-position model. The record is from RNAcentral.
UGGGGAAUAUUGGACAAUGGGCGCAAGCCUGAUCCAGCAAUGCCGCGUGUGUGAAGAAGGCCUUCGGGUUGUAAAGCACUUUUAUCAGGAGCGAAACGCUGUCGGCUAAUACCCGGCGGAACUGACGGUACCUGAGGAAUAAGCACCGGCUAACUUCGUGCCAGCAGCCGCGGUAAUACGAAGGGUGCAAGCGUUAAUCGGAAUUACUGGGCGUAAAGCGUGCGUAGGCGGUUUCUUAAGUCUGCUGUGAAAUCCCCGGGCUCAACCUGGGAAUGGCAGUGGAUACUGGGAGGCUAGAGUGUGUCAGAGGGUGGUGGAAUUCCCGGUGUAGCGGUGAAAUGCGUAGAGAUCGGGAGGAACAUCAGUGGCGAAGGCGGCCACCUGGGACAACACUGACGCUGAGGCACGAAAAGCGUGGGGAGCAAACAGGAUUAGAUACCCUGGUAGUCCACGCCCUAAAACGAUGCGAACUGGAUGUUGGUCUCAACUCGGAGAUCAGUGUCGAAGCUAACGCGUUAAGUUCGCCGCCUGGGGAGUACGGUCGCAAGACUGAAACUC